CACGUUUCCAUCCCUCCCGUCAGCUCGCGCCCUCCUCCAGGUUUUCCGGCACAGACCUUGGAGGGCAGCGUGGAAACUGGGUAACUGCAAGCAAGCUGAGGUAAGCUGCACGUUCCGCAUGGACGCCCUCAAGCGUGAUUCCCAAUUCCAAGACCCCGCGUCCCCACCGCCCGCUGACGAGAACGAUACCCGUGAGCACCGCUCCUCUCCAGUGGCCCGUUCAGUCACUCACAAGCGCCAGUUCUCAGAGGAGCCGCGGAAUCGCUGUCUUGGACAGUGAAGGGAGCUGGCGUUGGUAAUCACGCUGCAACUAGGAAUCCCUGACCUCGCCGAACCCUCAACUCACUGCCGGCUCCGAGUUUCAUAAAUUGCCGCGGAACAACCUCGACGCACUCUUGCGCACGCGCACCAGCUGUGGAAGGAACCCCCUAGGAGCCCCCGCGACCCGGAUCGGUGAGGUAGACCAGGCCUUUGCCAGCCCCGUCCCUUUCUGCAGGCCCCGUCCCUUUCUGCAGGCCCCGCCCACGCCGCACACUUGGAACUCUGGCCCUGUGAAUGGACUCACGUGGCAAUGGAUGCAGCAAUAUUCAGUUUCCAGAAUCAGCAGCUCCGGCAGCAGUGUCCUGUGCUGAUGGUGUUGGCAGGAGCUUCUUGACCCUGGGAGCAGAUUCAAUGUCACCUGGAGGAACAUUUCGUCCUCUACAUUUGCAUGGGAGAAUAACAUUUUUAAAGAAAAAUCAGGAGAGAUUGGCGUGCUGCCUUCUAGUGCAUAAUCCCAGGGUCAGUGAGAACUCCUAGCAUCUGACAAGUCAUAAAUCACACUCAUCUCUUCCUUACAUUCCCCUCUCUGUCUCUUGCUACUUUGGCUCAGGUCAAAUCAGUUCAAGAAACAUGUGUUGGACACUUAUAAUGUAUGAUGACUGCUCUUAUUUUCUGUGAAUAAAGAUGAUUCAGAUGUGAUCUCUACCCUUGACUAUCUUACAGUCACAGAGAAAGACAAAUAAUUUUAAUAUAAUUUGUUAAGAGCUGUGAUGGAGGUAAGUACAAGAUGCUGUAGGUAUACUUGUGCAUCUAAGAUAGAUUAGUUGUUUGUGAGUGUGUGUAUUGGUGUGUGUAUGUCCGUGUGUAUUGGAGGUAGGAAUAGGGAAAGUUUGUGGGAUUGUUUCUGGAGUAUAUUUUUCCUAGACAGAAUCUUAAAAAAUUCGUCUGGCUAUGGUUAUGAGCCAGAUGAAGAAGGGAUAGAAAUCAUAGCAAUAUCCUGUAACUUCACUUUCAUUAAAUUAACCACUGAUUGUAGUCAUCACUUUAAAUUUUGUGAAGAAUGCUUAGUUUUAUGCUCAAUAUCUUCUUUUGUCAAAACUGAGAAAGAUUGUUUGUCUAUCAUUUAAUUUUCCUUGAGAUUUAGAUACAUUAUUGAUACAGUUGUAAUCAAAUUCUAAAAAAAAAAAAAAAUUCUACUCUAAGAAGAGUGAAAAUUGUGGCAGAAAGAGUACUGAGUCUAAAGAUCCUGAGCUGAACCAAAUCCCGGAGCCUCUAAGAACUAACCAGGUAGCACCUUCCACCAGAUGGACGGCAAUUCAAAAUGUAGCAAUGUUUAAAUUACCUGUAUUCUCGAAAUUUAUUUUUAUAUCAGCUGUUUUGAUAAUACACUAUUUUUCUCUUUAGAAGCAAUUCUCUAUUAGUUUGAUGUGAUAGAUUAUAUAGAUUCCUUAAACCAAUAUUGGCUGUGAAUCUAUGAUAUUCCAAGGACCACUGUAGGCACUGGGGAUGAAACAAUUUGGCCCCUCCCCUCUGGAGUUCUUUAGUGUUAGGAACUGGGUUUUCAGUCUGUAUCCCCAGUCUUUAGCAUAUGCUUGGUACACAGUAUUUGCUCAAAAAAUAAGAUUGAUUGAAUAUUCAAAGUAUGAUGGGUGCCCAAGGAAAGUAAUGAUACCUUGAUUUAGUGGGCAUGUCUUUGAGUAGAGGGACUAUGCGGAGCAAAAAACAGUGGGGUGUAAAAAUGCAGUGUGUUCUAGUUAGUUGGUAUGGGAUAAGGCUGGUAAGGUUGCCUGCAGAUGGAUACGGGAGGGUGGAAUUUAUCUAUAUUCAGUGUGGGGCCGUAAGUAAUCAUCAAGCAGAGAUGUAAUUAUUCAUAAUUAUGUUUUAUUUAUCAGUUAUUGAAUGAGUUGAUUUCCCUUGAAAUAAAGGUAGGCACUUCUAUAACUGCUAGGCACUACAGUUUUUAGAUAUUGGCAGCAUCUAUCAAAAGUAAAGAUAUGCCUACCCUUAUAUAUUCCAUCUUGGAUAAAGCUCGUACCUAGCAAUUCGAAUGUUUGUAGUUUACCUUAACAGAUAUAUUGGUAACAGUGAAAAACAAUAUAUGUAUAGGAAUGUUCAUAACAUAAUUGUUUGUGGUAGCAUAAAUUGGCCCCAAUAUUAAUGUUCAUCAAUAAGAGAAUAGUUAACUAAGUUUUGGUUUAACUGUAGUUUAACUGUAGUUAAACUGUAGUGUGGAAUAUAAUGAAAUCAAUAGCAAGACAUAGGUAUAGCUAUAUAUAUUGGUCAAGAAGUGUCUCCAAGAUAAUAGCGAUUGUUGGGAAAAUUAAGUCAUUAAAUCAUAUGUUAACUACAAAAGUGUGCAUACUCAUGUACAUACACAU
This 2639-nucleotide long non-coding RNA is filed under the name Homo sapiens (human). Its description in RNAcentral is "HSALNT0361186". The record is from RNAcentral. Lineage: Eukaryota; Metazoa; Chordata; Mammalia; Primates; Hominidae.